Molecule: transfer RNA, 77 nt
Filed under: Oxalobacteraceae bacterium
Lineage: Bacteria; Pseudomonadati; Pseudomonadota; Betaproteobacteria; Burkholderiales; Oxalobacteraceae
Also listed under: 4 other names
Description: tRNA-Arg
Rfam family: tRNA
About the family: Transfer RNA (tRNA) molecules are approximately 80 nucleotides in length. Their secondary structure includes four short double-helical elements and three loops (D, anti-codon, and T loops).
Source: RNAcentral
CUGCCCAUAGCUCAGCUGGAUAGAGCAACGGCCUUCUAAGCCGUAGGUCGCACGUUCGAGUCGUGCUGGGCAGGCCA